UCCCGGAACUGAAUGAUUAUGGAGUUUCCUCAUGGGAAGGUGGGUCUCCUCCUGCCUAGCUACCACAUGAUGGGCUCUCUUAAAUAUCAAGUUAAAAUCAUUUCUUUCCCCAUAAUUUUAACAUUACCAAAAUUUGCAUAAGUUUUCAAAUUACAAUUUCUGUAUAUACACAUUCGGUUUGUUAUUUUCUGCAAUCAUAUACCAUGUGGGGUAGUUUCCGAGCGUCGACAGCACGACACGUAUCUGAUGGGUUGCGAACGCCGCAUUUCAUUAAACGUUACCUUUGUGGGCUUUGUCUUCUGAGUUGAGCGUUGGGCUGUGAAGUUCGUUGUUCUGUCGGACCUGACUGAGUGAUGUUCUCGCUAAACCCUAAUACGGCGGAGAAGAAACCAAGAUCAUCUUCCCCCUUCGUGCGGCGGUGACCUGAUGCCGUUUGCGCUUCUUCACAUCAGUCGAAACGGUAUGAAUGAAGGCUUAUUCACUCCCCCACUGCGUCGUCUUCAAUGCUUCUUCGAUCUAAAAGGCGGUGAUUUCUUAGUAUAAAUAUGUGGAGGCUAGCAAGCGAUGGGGCAAGAACGGAGCAAGCGGCAGAGAGCUGAUGGACCAAGUGACGGGCAGAUCAAGAUGGAUAGCCAUGGAACAAUUUACGGAGAGUGUGAAGAGAGAGAUAGCAAAGUCGAUUGCUGCAGUUCAAGCUCUCACAUGGGAAGCAAUAGGCUCUCGGACAUGGAAGCAAUGCAAGAGGAGGGACACGGCCAAAACCUAAAGGCCACAUUGAGCCAACAGUCCGCAGCUCUACAAUAGCUCCAAAUUAAGAUUGCUCAAUUGGAGAAAAGAAAUCAGGCACAGGGUCAACGACCACGGCAAAGAAAAACAAGAUUUGGAGAUGUACCAGGGGCUGUAUAUGUCGAGCCCAAGAAACCAGAUCCUUCAAGGAUCAAUCAAACUCCAACUUCUAAAACCCACAACCAUCAUGUUGUUAAUUCUCGGUUUGAUUAUAACUCUUUUGCUGAUAAAAUUGAACUCUUUAAAUUUUCAGGAAAAAGAGGUUAUCUAAGAUGGGAGAGGAACCUUGAUGAAUAGUUUCACUUCAAAAACAUCCUGAGGAAAGAGAGGCUAGCUUAUGCUAUUGAUCAACUUAGAGAAGAAGCCUUUAAAUGGUGGGUACAAAAAGAAGAUGAUAGGCGGUUUUACAAGGAGCCAACUAUCAAAACGUGGAGAGCUCUUAAGGAAGUCACGAAGGAUAAGUUUGCACCAGAUUUUAAAAGUUCUGAAAUCCAGGAACUAUAUCCAAGGAGGUAUCCAACUCAUGGUUCCAAAGAAGCAAGAAAAUUAGUGGCACAAGAAGGUCAAAGGGUCUUGUCUCAACAAGAUAACUUUCAGCCAAACCAGGGGCACGCCAUUGUCCACUGCUUAGACCAGAAGAGUGACAUCCCAGAGGCCAUGAAGAUGAGUAAAAGUGUCGGCCCAAACACUUUGAUCAGGUCCAGAGAAAAACAAGAGCAUGCUACUAUGCAAGUAAAAGCUAAGGUAAGUCCUAUACUUGAUGAUAUUGUUCAUAAAUCAUCUACCACUUGUUUGAUGCACUUUUCUUUGUCCAAGAGUGUUAUUACAGGUCUAAUGGAGCCUAGGUACAUAGAAGAAGAGACGCCAGGCACAAGCCUUCCCACGGACCAGAAGGAAGCUCAAAGCACAAAGCAACUAAAGUUGCUUAAUAAACCAAAACCAGUGAUCAAAGUAUCAAACCAAGGUAAGUGUUUAACAACACCUUUAGAUACUGGUUUAAACAUUUGUAUUCUUGGUACAUGUAUACCAGAUGGGAGCCAUAUGCUUACUGAAGUUCCAAGGGCCGAACCAGUACAUGAGUUCAAUCAAAAUCCACACCACAAGUGGAAACCAAAAUCUGAACAAUGUAUUGUUCAAGUGCCAAAAUCUGAGGUAAAAUUCACUUUAAAACAGAAUGUUCUUAUUUAUUCUAUGCAAGAUUAAUGCACUUGUCUUGUCCAAAGAAAAGUGAAAUUGGUACAAAAAAUCAAGGUGAGUACAAGGCAAACAAAGAACAAGAAAUUCUUACUGCCGCAUUUGACAUUAAGGUUAAUUCUUCUAUGUUUUCUUCAAUUUAUAAAUCCAUAUACUUUGGUAUAAUACACUUGUCUUUGCCAAAAUGUUUUGAUCCAGGGAUAAGUCAAGAAGGACAUAAAAACCAAGCUGAGCCAUCACAAGAAGAUGGUCAUACCAACCAAGGUAAAAAGUUGCAAGAAAGGCAGUCAUCUAACCAAACUUGUCCAAAGAAGAAUAUCCUUCUUCAUUAUGCUAAAGCAUCCAAGAUAAAUUCGACCAUAACACAUUCUGUUCAUGAAACUCCAGUAUCAGAUAUAAUUCACUUGUCCUUGUCCAGAAUGUUGAGAAUUUUUUAGGUUGCAAAGAAGAAAGCUUCAAAGAAAUCCCACCUGAUAAUCUUUUGUUGCUAGGAGGAUCAACCCCAAAGAUGGUCAGAACUGAGCCUACUAGAAGUAUGAAGGACCAUCCACUGAAGAAGAGAAGCAAUGCCAAAUUCCAUAUCAGAGGGCGUGAUCGUAUCCUAUUUGCUGAAAGAAGAGCCACCUGAUGCACAAUCCCCAAACCGAAACAAUAUCAAUCUCAAAAGAGUAUGAAAGCUGACUUGCUCUAUCUUGGUGCAGUUUAUCCAGUUUCUAGGUCAAAAAAAUUUCAAAGGGGAGGGUAUGAUGCAGCCAUCAAAUCAGUGGUUGAACCAGAGAUCAACCAAGCUCUCCAAACCGGCCACUUUGGAGAUACCAGCGAUAGAGGUUCCGUCCAAAGCGAAUAUCUCAACAACCAGAAGAAAAUCUUCACGGUGGAAGAAGUUAUAAACUUUACAAACUGGAGGUUCCCCAGCCCGUCCAGUUGCGAGUAUCAGCCAUUAGAAGUGGAUUUCAGCUCAACCAUGAAGCAUACUUAUCCAUAAUCAAGCAUGGGCUUCAAUUAUAAUGUCUUAUCUUUCCAGAAAGCCCUAAAUCAAAAGAAUUGGCCAAGGGAAAACCAAGAUGCAAUCAAUUUUCUAAAACCGGCCAAACCGACAUCAAUUUGGGAAAGUUUCCAACCAAUUCAAUUUGGUCCGACCCAAGCCUAUUUAUAGAAACCAGGAGAUACUCUAGACCAUUCAGAAGACACCCAAGACGUCCAUAGAUGCACCAGCACCCAGAGGAUCAGGCGGAUUCUCAUCUACUUUCCAUAUCCGGCCACACCAUAUGCAUUCAAGGAAAGUCUUCACCACUUAAUGAGCAAGGACCAACGGCUCUAUUCCUUUGAACCAGAAGAAACCAAGAUCCUUAGGAGUUUAAUCAGAAGCCAGAUAUUCCUAUUUCGUGGAUAUUUCUCCAUAAUAUCAAGAUACAAGAUCAGUCUUCUCCAAAAGCAACAAAUCAGCCUAACGGCUAGUUUUCAUGGAACCAUCAAAGCCUUUGAGUCCAAGACUUUUAUGUCAAGUUUAUUUCUUUUCUUUUAUCAUUUUAUGACUGUAAGAGUCUGUCUUAGUCGAGCCUAUAAAGCUUUAGUCUUUUUUUCAGUGUAAAUCACUCCAUUUUGAAAGUAAUAAGAAUUAUUCAGUUUUUAUAGUUUUGUCAAAACUAUUGUUCUACGUCUUUUGAGUGUGUGUGAAGCAGCUCCAGAGCAUCUUGGCUUAUCAAACCUCCUUUCCAUAGAGUCUUGUGGCGUCCUCAAUCCCCCAUCCUUCCAUUCCAUUUCGUUUGCCAAGCUUGAGAGUUAUAAACAUCCAACAAGCAAAGCACCAUCUCGAUCCACUUCAAUCAUCAACUGAUUAGGCUGAUAGUGUCACACGACCAACAACCUAAUUUCAUCCUAUCUAUCUUUAUUUAUCUUGUUUUAUCAUAUUAGAAAUUACAUCUCAUUUGUUUUUGCAUUUGUUUUCAGGAUCAUAACUUGCAUUCCAUUCAUAUCACCCAUCCGAUCAUAGAUUUGGUCGAUCCAUCAAGCCUCCAUCUUCCAUCUUGCCCACUCUGUUCUCCAGCCUGCAACAGAUCUGCUUAAAUAAUUUUAGCUAUGAUCAAAACAAGGAAACAAUACACAUAAGUUUGUAUUGUUUAUGCUAUUUUUCUAAAUAUUGUUUAUGCUAUUUUUCUAUUUCAGAAGAAGUGGUCUUGCUUGAUGUUAUUUGAUCUCCAGAUAUUGGCAUCGUUCACGUUUCUUAAAGGUAAUCAAAUAUUUUCCAUACAUGGGCUUUUCACAAGGAAGAACCAAGAGAGACAAUGAGAUGUCAAUGAACCAAAUCUGGAUGCUUUUCCCAUGAAUUAUGACUAUACAUUUCUUCUUCUUUUGAGCUUCUGAGCAUCAAAUAUGUUUACACAAUAACGAUAUGAAUCAUGUAUUUAUGACUAAUGACUUCUGAGGCUUUCGGAUGAUUUGCAAUGAUAUGAUCAGUGACUUUGGUAGACAUACAUUGGGAUUCUGUUAAUAAUUUGUUUGUAUGAAUUAGAGGAUAUAGUUAUGCAACAUUGGAUCCAAAUCAA
Molecule: long non-coding RNA, 4526 nt
Organism: Brassica napus (rape)
Lineage: Eukaryota; Viridiplantae; Streptophyta; Magnoliopsida; Brassicales; Brassicaceae
Exons: 4
Source: RefSeq, a predicted model, not a curated record